Molecule: long non-coding RNA, 747 nt
Filed under: Mus pahari (shrew mouse)
Lineage: Eukaryota; Metazoa; Chordata; Mammalia; Rodentia; Muridae
Description: predicted gene 20621 (MGP_PahariEiJ_G0033080.1)
Source: RNAcentral
GGCUGUGGUCUCAGGAUGCGACCAGUGUAGACAGUACAGUAAACCGGUGGUCCUAGAGUUCACACUCACCAGGGCAGAAAGGACUGGCGCAGGAGACAUAGUUCUCCACUGUUGGCACGGUUCAGAACAAGUGAGUGGGACGAGGUAGGGACGGAGCAAUGGUACUUCAGGCUGCCCAACGGUGGAAACAGUGGCUGUGGCUGCGGAUGUUGGGGCAUUGGGGAUGGGAGAGUAGGAGGAACUGUAGGGCGGGUCAGUGGGGUUGGGACUGGUGCGGGCAGCAGUGGGUUGCAGGAAUGAUGGCCAACAGUUCCGGAGGAGGGCGUGGGAUUGUGCUGUGGAGGGCUUCCGUGUGAUCUCCAAGCGCCGUGCCUAGUUUGCUGUGGCUUCCGCCCGCCCGCCCCGCCCUGGCCCUGCAAACCUCUCUCUGCGCCUUGAUACCGCAGGGCGCCUUCUGCGGCUGCUGCUGGGGCGGUGGGCGGCCAGGCAGCUGGAGGAGCCCAUGACGAGGACCAGGAUGAGAACGAAGACUGGACCGAGACGCCCCCAGAUCAUGGCGUCUCUGCGGGAACCGACACAUAGACGAAGGACCUUGUAUACAGAGCUAUUUUACAGAAAUUGCGAGUGGCACCAUGGUAUUUCUUGUGGAGCCUCACCCUCUCCUGUGCCCGCGCCCUGUCGUCCUCUCAGUCCCUGGGCAGACAUUCAUAAGACCGUACCUCUAACCCCAUGGUGAAUCUCACCAAA